GAUGAAGAACGCAGCGAAAUGCGAUAAGUAAUGUGAAUUGCAGAAUUCAGUGAAUCAUCGAAUCUUUGAACGCACCUUGCGCUCCUUGGUAUUCCGAGGAGCAUGCCUGUUUGAGUGUCAUGAAAUUCUCAACCCAUAAGUCCUUGUGAUCUAUGGGCUUGGAUUUGGAGGCUUGCUGGCCCUAGCGGUCGGCUCCUCUUGAAUGCAUUAGCUUGAUUCCGUGCGGAUCGGCUCUCAGUGUGAUAAUUGUCUACGCUGUGACCGUGAAGCGUUUUGGCAAGCUUCUAACCGUCCAUUAGGACAAUCUUUCAACAUCUGACCUCAAAUCAGGUAGGACUACCCGCUGAACUUAAGCAUAUCAAUAAGCGGAGGA
This 373-nucleotide unclassified non-coding RNA is filed under the name soil metagenome. RNAcentral's name for it is "partial contains 5.8S ribosomal RNA, internal transcribed spacer 2, and large subunit ribosomal RNA". The stretch from base 1 to 120 matches the Rfam family "5.8S ribosomal RNA", at positions 35 to 154 of the family's 154-position model. The record is from RNAcentral.